AUGAACGCUGGCGGCGUGCUUAACACAUGCAAGUCGAACGAUGAAGCUCAGCUUGCUGGGUGGAUUAGUGGCGAACGGGUGAGUAACACGUGAGCAACCUGCCCCUGACUCUGGGAUAAGCGCUGGAAACGGCGUCUAAUACUGGAUAUGUCCCGUCACCGCAUGGUGUGCGGGUGGAAAGAUUUUUCGGUUGGGGAUGGGCUCGCGGCCUAUCAGCUUGUUGGUGAGGUAAUGGCUCACCAAGGCGUCGACGGGUAGCCGGCCUGAGAGGGUGACCGGCCACACUGGGACUGAGACACGGCCCAGACUCCUACGGGAGGCAGCAGUGGGGAAUAUUGCACAAUGGGCGGAAGCCUGAUGCAGCAACGCCGCGUGAGGGAUGACGGCCUUCGGGUUGUAAACCUCUUUUAGCAGGGAAGAAGCGAAAGUGACGGUACCUGCAGAAAAAGCACUGGCUAACUACGUG
Molecule: ribosomal RNA, 466 nt
Filed under: uncultured bacterium
Lineage: Bacteria
Description: partial 16S ribosomal RNA
Rfam family: Bacterial small subunit ribosomal RNA
Source: RNAcentral